AGUCGACGAGCACUGUAACGGAGAUUCGUCGAAGUUUACUUUGACUUAGUGGCGGACGGGUGAGUAAUGUAUGAGCAACCUGCCUUUCAGUGGGGGACAACAGUUGGAAACGACUGCUAAUACCGCAUGAUGUCAAUUGGGGGCAUCCCCGAAUGACCAAAGGAUUUAUUCGCUGAAAGAUGGGCUCAUAUCUGAUUAGCUAGUUGGUGAGGUAACGGCUCACCAAGGCUGCGAUCAGUAGCCGGACUGAGAGGUUGAACGGCCACAUUGGGACUGAGAUACGGCCCAGACUCCUACGGGAGGCAGCAGUGGGGAAUAUUGGGCAAUGGGCGAAAGCCUGACCCAGCAACGCCGCGUGAAGGAAGAAGGUCUUCGGAUUGUAAACUUCUUUUAUGAGGGACGAAGGACGUGACGGUACCUCAUGAAUAAGCCACGGCUAACUACGUGCCAGCAGCCGCGGUAAUACGUAGGUGGCAAGCGUUAUCCGGAUUUACUGGGUGUAAAGGGCGCGUAGGCGGGGAUGCAAGUCAGAUGUGAAAUCUAUGGGCUUAACCCAUAAACUGCAUUUGAAACUGUAUCUCUUGAGUGCUGGAGAGGUAGACGGAAUUCCUUGUGUAGCGGUGAAAUGCGUAGAUAUAAGGAAGAACACCAGUGGCGAAGGCGGUCUACUGGACAGUAAUCUGAC
RNAcentral lists this ribosomal RNA (685 nucleotides) under uncultured bacterium. Its description in RNAcentral is "bacterial SSU rRNA". It matches the Rfam family "Bacterial small subunit ribosomal RNA", at positions 60 to 744 of the family's 1533-position model. The record is from RNAcentral.